CCGGUCUAUCACCAGCUUCUCAGAUAGGCAAGUCAUUCUUCUUGCAUAGAGAAACCUGGAGGCAUCAGAGGUCGGGUGGUGCUCAGGUUACAGUACUUUGGCGCAGGUACGGGAGAGGUGGUCCCUCUUCUGUUUGGAAAUGUGAAGCGCGUGUGUGUGUGCACGUGAACGUGGUGGACAAAGGCUACUUCCUCAUACUAUACAUGAAAGGGCCAUAGGAAGAUAAUCAAAAAGGAAAAGAAAGGAAAGAGAUCUUCAUGUAAACAGAGUCCCUCUUAUUGGCUGAAGUGAAGAGUCAUUCUGAGGCAUCUCAAGAUGAAGGUUUCCUAUUUGUGAUUAUGAAAAAAAUGUCAAGAACAAGUCCCUUGGUGUUCUUAGACCAAAGUCAGAACAACAGACCUAGUAAGUAUUCUCUCAGCAUUCAUUACAUGUUAGCAACCUUCAAAGCAGUUUGUGUUCCCUCAUAUGGUCCUCCAUGAGGUAAGUAUCAGAGCUAUAGUAAGAUCUAUUUAACAGUGAGACCCAAAUGUGUCCCAAGACCACUCAGGAUUGCCCUGGUAACCCUGAAGCUCGAAAAUCCCUGAGAUCAAGACUGAAGGAGUCUGUGUUGUUCCUCCCGCAUGCUUCUUCCUUGCAUGUCCCUUUUUCUUCCCUUUCUGUAUCCUUUCUUCCCCAU
RNAcentral lists this long non-coding RNA (676 nucleotides) under Homo sapiens (human). RNAcentral describes it as "HSALNT0268915". Lineage: Eukaryota; Metazoa; Chordata; Mammalia; Primates; Hominidae. The record is from RNAcentral.